AGGAUCAUUAUUGAAUUUUGAAAGAGGUUGUAGCUGAUCAAAACAAGAUAUGUGCACACCUCAUUUCCAAAUUUUACACCAUGUGCACUCUUUGUAGGCCGACUUUGUUUGGUCUAUGUCUUUUUAAAUACACCCAAAAAGUUUCAGAAUGUUAAAUCAUAAGCUUGUUUUGCAGGCUGAAAAAAUNAAUACAACUUUCAACAACGGAUCUCUUGGCUCUCGCAUCGAUGAAGAACGCAGCGAAAUGCGAUAAGUAAUGUGAAUUGCAGAAUUCAGUGAAUCAUCGAAUCUUUGAACGCACCUUGCGCUCCUUGGUAUUCCGAGGAGCAUGCCUGUUUGAGUGUCAUUAAAUUCUCAAUCCUCUUCAAACUUGCUUUGUAAGAGGCUUUGGAUUUGGAGUGUUGCUGGCCUUGUCGGCUCCUCUUAAAUGUAUUAGCUUGGAUCUUUUUGCAGAUAAGCUUUAGUUUGAUAAAUAUCUAUGCUAAUUGCUUUUGAAACAAAAUGCCAGCUUCCAAUUGUUGUUGUUCAUACAACUCUCUU
This 540-nucleotide ribosomal RNA is filed under the name Hygrophorus eburneus. RNAcentral describes it as "eukaryotic LSU rRNA". The stretch from base 193 to 346 matches the Rfam family "5.8S ribosomal RNA". The record is from RNAcentral. Lineage: Eukaryota; Fungi; Basidiomycota; Agaricomycetes; Agaricales; Hygrophoraceae.